Long non-coding RNA from Osmerus eperlanus (European smelt), 536 nucleotides. RefSeq lists it as uncharacterized. NCBI's taxonomy places the organism in Eukaryota, Metazoa, Chordata, Actinopteri, Osmeriformes, Osmeridae. The transcript has 3 exons. The record is from RefSeq and is a predicted model, not a curated record.
GACAGAAGGAGUGCGUUGGCGCCGCUACCGCUGCUCAUAAAGGGAUUCAUACCUUUGGAGAAACACGAGUCGGAUAGUCAGGACUGCCCACUUCAACUUGACUGUCUUCAUUCAUACCACAUCGAGUAGAAGGGACCGUGGAGGAGAUGGGGAGAGGGGAACGAGGCCUGCCGUCUUGAAGAGGACAGCUGGGGUUCAGAUCGUGCUUCUUCAACAUUAGCCAGGAGUGUAGCUGGGAAAACAGUUUGAGAUCUUUCCCAGUGCCGGAUGGACACCCCCCGUCAACUCUCUUGGACUCGACCUAACACUUCUACGAGAGCAGACAUUCUGGAACAAUGGAGUUGCCUGAAGAAGACAGUCCUCUCUCACUGACAUGGAAGGACAUCUGUGACUGGAGCACACUCAACCUAACAACCCCAUCGAAAGUAGCCAUCCUAUAGAUAGACUGAAGUGUAGUUUAAGCGACACCCAUUUGUUCAAUUCAUAGAUGUUGAACAGUCAGCCAAGGCUCACAGGAAGAUUCGGAGGGAGUAUGG